RNAcentral lists this microRNA (21 nucleotides) under Patiria miniata (bat star). RNAcentral's name for it is "pmi-let-7-5p". Its record names the gene pmi-let-7-5p. The record is from miRBase by way of RNAcentral. Lineage: Eukaryota; Metazoa; Echinodermata; Asteroidea; Valvatida; Asterinidae.
UGAGGUAGUCGGUUGUAAAGA